AUACGUAGGGGGCGAGCGUUGUCCGGAAUUAUUGGGCGUAAAGGGUUCGUAGGCGGUUAUUUAAGUCAGGUGUGAAAGGCAUAGGCUCAACCUGUGUAAGCACUUGAAACUGAAUGACUUGAGUUAAGGAGAGGAAAGUGGAAUUCCUAGUGUAGCGGUGAAAUGCGUAGAUAUUAGGAGGAAUACCAGUGGCGAAGGCGGCUUCCUGGUCUGUAACUGACACUGAGGCGCGAAAGCGUGGGGAGC
RNAcentral lists this ribosomal RNA (246 nucleotides) under uncultured bacterium. Its description in RNAcentral is "partial 16S ribosomal RNA". It matches the Rfam family "Bacterial small subunit ribosomal RNA", at positions 523 to 769 of the family's 1533-position model. The record is from RNAcentral.